UGGUUCUGGCAUCGAUGAAGAACGCAGCGAAAUGCGAUAAGUAGUGUGAAUUGCAGAAUUCAGUGAAUCAUCGAAUCUUUGAACGCACAUUGCGCCCCUCGGUAUUCCGUGGGGCAUGCCUGUUCGAGCGUCAUUACAACCCUCAAGCCUAGCUUGGUGUUGGGUGCUUGUCCCGCCCCCCGCGCGGCGACUCACCUCAAAGUCAGUGGCAGCCCGCAUCCGCCGGCCGUGAGCGCAGCAAAGUCGCGCCCUAGGCCCCGGCAGGUCGGCUCUCCAAAAGCCCUUUUUACCACGUUUGACCUCGGAUCAGGUAGGGAUACCCGCUGA
This 327-nucleotide unclassified non-coding RNA is filed under the name uncultured fungus. Its description in RNAcentral is "partial contains 5.8S ribosomal RNA and internal transcribed spacer 2". The stretch from base 1 to 133 matches the Rfam family "5.8S ribosomal RNA", at positions 22 to 154 of the family's 154-position model. The record is from RNAcentral. Lineage: Eukaryota; Fungi.